AAUAGAUACCCGGGUAGUCCUAGCCGUAAACGAUACUCGCUAGGUGUCGACCACGGUGCGACCGUUGUCGGUGCCGUAGGGAAGCCGUGAAGCGAGCCACCUGGGAAGUACGGCCGCAAGGCUGAAACUUAAAGGAAUUGGCGGGGGAGCACCACAACGGGUGGAGCUUGCGGUUUAAUUGGAUUCAACGCCGGAAAUCUUACCGGGACCGACAGCAACAUGAAGGCCAGGCUGAAGACUUUGCCGGAUUAGCUGAGAGGUGGUGCAUGGCCGUCGUCAGUUCGUACUGUGAAGCAUCCUGUUAAGUCAGGCAACGAGCGAGACCCACGCCCACAGUUGCCAGCGUACUCUCUGGAGUGACGGGUACACUGUGGGGACCGCCGCUGCUAAAGCGGAGGAAGGAAUGGGCAACGGUAGGUCAGUAUGCCCCGAAUAUCCCGGGCUACACGCGAGCUACAAUGGUUGGUACAAUGGGUAUCUACCCCGAAAGGGGAUGGAAAUCUCCUAAAGCCAAUCUUAGUUCGGAUUGAGGGCUGCAACUCGCCCUCA
RNAcentral lists this ribosomal RNA (549 nucleotides) under uncultured bacterium. RNAcentral's name for it is "bacterial SSU rRNA". It matches the Rfam family "Archaeal small subunit ribosomal RNA", at positions 728 to 1276 of the family's 1478-position model. The record is from RNAcentral.